Molecule: ribosomal RNA, 115 nt
Filed under: Paenibacillus larvae
Lineage: Bacteria; Bacillati; Bacillota; Bacilli; Caryophanales; Paenibacillaceae
Source: RNAcentral
UUUGGUGACGAUAGCGGAAGGGAACCACGCGUACCAUCCCGAACACGGCCGUUAAGCCUUCCAGCGCCGAUGGUACGCAAUCGAAGGGUCCUGGGAGAGUAGGAUGUUGCCAAGC